AUUGAACGCUGGCGGCAGGCCUAACACAUGCAAGUCGAACGGUAACAGGAAGCAGCUUGCUUCUUUGCUGACGAGUGGCGGACGGGUGAGUAAUGUCUGGGAAACUGCCUGAUGGAGGGGGAUAACUACUGGAAACGGUAGCUAAUACCGCAUAACGUCGCAAGACCAAAGAGGGGGACCUUCGGGCCUCUUGCCAUCGGAUGUGCCCAGAUGGGAUUAGCUAGUAGGUGGGGUAACGGCUCACCUAGGCGACGAUCCCUAGCUGGUCUGAGAGGAUGACCAGCCACACUGGAACUGAGACACGGUCCAGACUCCUACGGGAGGCAGCAGUGGGGAAUAUUGCACAAUGGGCGCAAGCCUGAUGCAGCCAUGCCGCGUGUAUGAAGAAGGCCUUCGGGUUGUAAAGUACUUUCAGCGGGGAGGAAGGGAGUAAAGUUAAUACCUUUGCUCAUUGACGUUACCCGCAGAAGAAGCACCGGCUAACUCCGUGCCAGCAGCCGCGGUAAUACGGAGGGUGCAAGCGUUAAUCGGAAUUACUGGGCGUAAAGCGCACGCAGGCGGUUUGUUAAGUCAGAUGUGAAAUCCCCGGGCUCAACCUGGGAACUGCAUCUGAUACUGGCAAGCUUGAGUCUCGUAGAGGGGGGUAGAAUUCCAGGUGUAGCGGUGAAAUGCGUAGAGAUCUGGAGGAAUACCGGUGGCGAAGGCGG
Molecule: ribosomal RNA, 707 nt
Filed under: Shigella sp.
Lineage: Bacteria; Pseudomonadati; Pseudomonadota; Gammaproteobacteria; Enterobacterales; Enterobacteriaceae
Description: bacterial SSU rRNA
Rfam family: Bacterial small subunit ribosomal RNA
Source: RNAcentral